RNAcentral lists this transfer RNA (65 nucleotides) under Melanastera paucipunctata. Its description in RNAcentral is "Diclidophlebia paucipunctata tRNA-Val". Lineage: Eukaryota; Metazoa; Arthropoda; Insecta; Hemiptera; Liviidae. The record is from RNAcentral.
AUAGUAAAUAGCUUAAAUAAAAAGUUAAUUAUUUACACUAAUAGGAUAUCUAAUAGAUUUUACUU